RNAcentral lists this long non-coding RNA (538 nucleotides) under Homo sapiens (human). RNAcentral describes it as "novel transcript". Lineage: Eukaryota; Metazoa; Chordata; Mammalia; Primates; Hominidae. The record is from RNAcentral.
AUGCUUACCAAGGAGGGGCUCUUGUCGGCUGUGGGAGGGGCAUCUGCUUCCCAUGGCUGAUGAGAAGAUUCAAUGCAGGCAGUAAUAAUGGCAAUUCUGGUUGUUUCUGUUUAUUGAAUGCUCACUAUCUGCCAGGCACUGCUCUCAACCAGUUAGUGUGUAUGACUUCAAUCAAUCGUCACAAAACCUGGAUUUGAUGUAGAAAGAGCUGCAGAAGGCAUCUCAUCCAUCAUUGGCAUACACAAGUGAUUUGGUCACAGAAUGCCCUGAAGACUAUAAAGCAUUGAACAGAAGCAGUCACCGUGAUUUUCAUGCUACUCUCUAGCCAUACACAUCAGUUUGCAAAUUCAAUCUUAUGAAAAGGAGUUUAUUUAUUCUCUAAGAAAAUGGAAUUGUGAUGUGGAUGAGGUGUCAUCUGAUGGUGGUUCUUCUGCUACAUGGUCCAGACUAUAAGGCAGAAUUACAUAAGGAUAUUUUAGGCACCUGAGACACAGUGACCAACAGAUGACGUCUACUAUGAUGGUGACAACGACAACAU